AUUGAACGCUGGCGGCAGGCCUAACACAUGCAAGUCGAGCGGAUGAAGGGAGCUUGCUCCUGGAUUCAGCGGCGGACGGGUGAGUAAUGCCUAUGAAUCUGCCUGGUAGUGGGGGAUAACGUCCGGAAACGGGCGCUGAUACCGCAUACGUCCUGCGGGAGAAAGUGGGGGAUCUUCGGACCUCACGCUAUCAGAUGAGCCUAGGUCGGAUUAGCUAGUUGGUGGGGUAAAGGCCUACCAAGGCGACGAUCCGUAACUGGUCUGAGAGGAUGAUCAGUCACACUGGAACUGAGACACGGUCCAGACUCCUACGGGAGGCAGCAGUGGGGAAUAUUGGACAAUGGGCGAAAGCCUGAUCCAGCCAUGCCGCGUGUGUGAAGAAGGUCUUCGGAUUGUAAAGCACUUUAAGUUGGGAGGAAGGGCAGUAAGUUAAUACCUUGCUGUUUUGACGUUACCAACAGAAUAAGCACCGGCUAACUUCGUG
Molecule: ribosomal RNA, 484 nt
Filed under: uncultured bacterium
Lineage: Bacteria
Description: partial 16S ribosomal RNA
Rfam family: Bacterial small subunit ribosomal RNA
Source: RNAcentral